Molecule: ribosomal RNA, 1627 nt
Filed under: Shigella flexneri
Lineage: Bacteria; Pseudomonadati; Pseudomonadota; Gammaproteobacteria; Enterobacterales; Enterobacteriaceae
Description: partial 23S ribosomal RNA
Rfam family: Bacterial large subunit ribosomal RNA
Source: RNAcentral
ACCUUUUGUAUAAUGGGUCAGCGACUUAUAUUCUGUAGCAAGGUUAACCGAAUAGGGGAGCCGAAGGGAAACCGAGUCUUAACUGGGCGUUAAGUUGCAGGGUAUAGACCCGAAACCCGGUGAUCUAGCCAUGGGCAGGUUGAAGGUUGGGUAACACUAACUGGAGGACCGAACCGACUAAUGUUGAAAAAUUAGCGGAUGACUUGUGGCUGGGGGUGAAAGGCCAAUCAAACCGGGAGAUAGCUGGUUCUCCCCGAAAGCUAUUUAGGUAGCGCCUCGUGAAUUCAUCUCCGGGGGUAGAGCACUGUUUCGGCAAGGGGGUCAUCCCGACUUACCAACCCGAUGCAAACUGCGAAUACCGGAGAAUGUUAUCACGGGAGACACACGGCGGGUGCUAACGUCCGUCGUGAAGAGGGAAACAACCCAGACCGCCAGCUAAGGUCCCAAAGUCAUGGUUAAGUGGGAAACGAUGUGGGAAGGCCCAGACAGCCAGGAUGUUGGCUUAGAAGCAGCCAUCAUUUAAAGAAAGCGUAAUAGCUCACUGGUCGAGUCGGCCUGCGCGGAAGAUGUAACGGGGCUAAACCAUGCACCGAAGCUGCGGCAGCGACGCUUAUGCGUUGUUGGGUAGGGGAGCGUUCUGUAAGCCUGUGAAGGUGUACUGUGAGGUAUGCUGGAGGUAUCAGAAGUGCGAAUGCUGACAUAAGUAACGAUAAAGCGGGUGAAAAGCCCGCUCGCCGGAAGACCAAGGGUUCCUGUCCAACGUUAAUCGGGGCAGGGUGAGUCGACCCCUAAGGCGAGGCCGAAAGGCGUAGUCGAUGGGAAACAGGUUAAUAUUCCUGUACUUGGUGUUACUGCGAAGGGGGGACGGAGAAGGCUAUGUUGGCCGGGCGACGGUUGUCCCGGUUUAAGCGUGUAGGCUGGUUUUCCAGGCAAAUCCGGAAAAUCAAGGCCGAGGCGUGAUGACGAGGCACUACGGUGCUGAAGCAACAAAUGCCCUGCUUCCAGGAAAAGCCUCUAAGCAUCAGGUAACAUCAAAUCGUACCCCAAACCGACACAGGUGGUCAGGUAGAGAAUACCAAGGCGCUUGAGAGAACUCGGGUGAAGGAACUAGGCAAAAUGGUGCCGUAACUUCGGGAGAAGGCACGCUGAUACGUAGGUGAAGCGACUUGCUCGUGGAGCUGAAAUCAGUCGAAGAUACCAGCUGGCUGCAACUGUUUAUUAAAAACACAGCACUGUGCAAACACGAAAGUGGACGUAUACGGUGUGACGCCUGCCCGGUGCCGGAAGGUUAAUUGAUGGGGUUAGCGCAAGCGAAGCUCUUGAUCGAAGCCCCGGUAAACGGCGGCCGUAACUAUAACGGUCCUAAGGUAGCGAAAUUCCUUGUCGGGUAAGUUCCGACCUGCACGAAUGGCGUAAUGAUGGCCAGGCUGUCUCCACCCGAGACUCAGUGAAAUUGAACUCGCUGUGAAGAUGCAGUGUACCCGCGGCAAGACGGAAAGACCCCGUGAACCUUUACUAUAGCUUGACACUGAACAUUGAGCCUUGAUGUGUAGGAUAGGUGGGAGGCUUUGAAGUGUGGACGCCAGUCUGCAUGGAGCCGACCUUGAAAUACCACCCUUUAAUGUUU